Molecule: ribosomal RNA, 463 nt
Filed under: microcytid environmental sample
Lineage: Eukaryota; Endomyxa; Ascetosporea; Mikrocytida; Mikrocytiidae
Description: partial small subunit ribosomal RNA
Rfam family: Eukaryotic small subunit ribosomal RNA
Source: RNAcentral
AAGUUGGGGUAUCGAAACGAUUAGACACCGUUGUAGUCCCAACCACAAACUUUGCUGACUGGCCUUGUGGCACCCUACGGCUUCGGCUAGGGGGUGGUGCGGGGCCUAGGCGAAAGCAUAGUCUUCGAGUCACUUGGAGAGUAUGCCCGCAAGAGUGAAACUUAAAUGAGUUGGCGGAGUCCCAUACAUGAACUGGAGCUUGCGGUUUAAUUUGAUUCAACACGGGACAACUUACCAGGGCCUCGGCAAGUAUGAGUCGUUCCCUGUCUCAGGGUGUGGUUGAAAUCCAACGACGAUUUUGCCUGGGGUUGUGCAUGGCCACCCGAGGCCGAUGGAUUGAUCUUUUGGUUAAGUCCGGUAAUCGGCGAGACCCGCGCUGUCAGUUUCGAGCCAAGAGGCGAGUCUGGCAGAACCGCAUUCGCAAGAGUGAGGUAGGACGGUCAAAGGUAGGUCCGGUGAUGCA